UCGCUUCUGUAAGGCUCUAUCUUCUCGCCAUAAAACCCCCAAUUUUUUAGUGGUUGACCUCGGAUCAGGUAGGAAUACCCGCUGAACUUAAGCAUAUCAAUAAGCGGAGGA
Molecule: ribosomal RNA, 111 nt
Filed under: Arthrinium phaeospermum
Lineage: Eukaryota; Fungi; Ascomycota; Sordariomycetes; Amphisphaeriales; Apiosporaceae
Description: partial 28S ribosomal RNA
Rfam family: Eukaryotic large subunit ribosomal RNA (bases 55-111)
Source: RNAcentral